UAAUACCAGCUCUCCGAGUGGUGUGGAUGUUUAUUGGGCCUAAAGCAUCCGUAGCUGGCCAAGUUAGUCCCUUGUUAAACCCACCGAAUUAAUCGUUGGCGUGCGGGGGAUACUGCUCGGCUAGGGGACGAGAGAGGCAGACGGUAUUCUCGGGGUAGGGGUGAAAUCCUAUAAUCCCGAGAAGACCACCAGUGGCGAAGGCUGUCUGCUAGAACGCGCCCGACGGUGAGGGAUGAAAGCUGGGGGAGCGAACCGGAUUAGAUACCCGGGUAGUCCCAGCUGUAAACGAUGCAGGCUAGGUGUUUGGACGGCCACGUGCCGUUCUAGUGCCGCAGGGAAGCUGUUAAGCCUGCCGCCUGGGGAGUACGGUCGCAAGAUUGAAACUCAAAUGAAUUGACGG
RNAcentral lists this ribosomal RNA (400 nucleotides) under uncultured archaeon. Its description in RNAcentral is "bacterial SSU rRNA". It matches the Rfam family "Archaeal small subunit ribosomal RNA", at positions 471 to 871 of the family's 1478-position model. The record is from RNAcentral.